This 760-nucleotide small RNA is filed under the name Histoplasma capsulatum var. duboisii H88. Its description in RNAcentral is "Histoplasma capsulatum H88 hypothetical RNA". The record is from RNAcentral. Lineage: Eukaryota; Fungi; Ascomycota; Eurotiomycetes; Onygenales; Ajellomycetaceae.
CGAGAUAUCGCGCUGCUUCCAGGGUAUUUAUGUAGCCACCUGUUGAUUGGGUGCUAUAUACAGUACUUCACUCACUCAAUCAUCUCGCGCCCCGCACGGCAGUCGAAUUGGACUCAGUCAGUCAACGGUCGAGGAGCGAUACAGGAAAAAGAGCUUGUUUAAGUUGGGAGCUUGAGUCGGACAGCAAACCAAGCACUCGUUUCGCAGUGGUCGCCAGCCGUUGUAGGUACUCAAUGACGACAGCUAGAUACAACCUACGGGAUAACACUUAUCACGGAGUAACAUGCUCAUAACCAUACUGCUAUUCCCCAAUGGCCUCCCUCAUCCGGUGACGCUGGUGGACGAGAGGGAAACAUGAGGACGAAAGCAAGAAAGCAUAAGGCGCAUUAGCAGCCACUUUCCAGAGGUGGUUUCCGGUAGUCGAUCCAGGAGAACAGCUCUGAAGCCAGCCAUAUCUGGAGCCCUGCGAUGAGUUUGGGAGAUUGAACGUGCAACACCGUUAUAUUUGGUCCGGGGUGCAAGAGAGCAUCUUCUAUUAACAAGAAGAAGAAGAAGAAGAAGGAUAAUAAUUCUGUGAAGGGCAGACUCCCAAGUACUACUAGCCAUAUAAUUGAAUGAGCAACGAGAUUAUUAUUAUUAUUCUUCCAAUUAGGGCAUAUUCAGUCAGAGACUAUGACACUCAUCUGAGUAUUGCUCAAGGUUUUUCUAGUACUAAUAGCUUGCAAUACAGAAUUCCAACCCAGAAUCAAUCAACAAUUAA